GGAAAGAUGGCUGAGUGGCCGAAAGCACAUCCCUGCUAAGGAUGCGUACCUUUACGGGUACCGGGGGUUCGAAUCCCCCUCUUUCCGACA
Molecule: transfer RNA, 90 nt
Filed under: Waddliaceae bacterium
Lineage: Bacteria; Pseudomonadati; Chlamydiota; Chlamydiia; Parachlamydiales; Waddliaceae
Description: tRNA-Ser
Rfam family: tRNA
About the family: Transfer RNA (tRNA) molecules are approximately 80 nucleotides in length. Their secondary structure includes four short double-helical elements and three loops (D, anti-codon, and T loops).
Source: RNAcentral